RNAcentral lists this ribosomal RNA (249 nucleotides) under uncultured bacterium. Its description in RNAcentral is "partial 16S ribosomal RNA". It matches the Rfam family "Bacterial small subunit ribosomal RNA", at positions 524 to 766 of the family's 1533-position model. The record is from RNAcentral.
UACAGAGGGUGCAAGCGUUGUUCGGAAUUAUUGGGCGUAAAGGGCGCGUAGGCGGUGCGGUAAGUCCGCAGUGAAAUCUCUGGGCUCAACUCAGAGUCUGCUGUGGAAACUGCCGUGCUAGAGUGUGGGGAGAGGUGAGUGGAAUUCCCCGGGUGUAGCGGUGAAAUGCGUAGAUAUCGGGAGGAACACCAGUGGCGAAGGCGGCUCUCUGGGGCCCCUACCUGACGCUGAGACGCGAAAAGCGUGGGG